This 74-nucleotide transfer RNA is filed under the name Geotrichum candidum. Its description in RNAcentral is "transfer RNA-Asp (GTC)". It matches the Rfam family "tRNA". From Rfam's summary of the family: Transfer RNA (tRNA) molecules are approximately 80 nucleotides in length. Their secondary structure includes four short double-helical elements and three loops (D, anti-codon, and T loops). The record is from RNAcentral. Lineage: Eukaryota; Fungi; Ascomycota; Dipodascomycetes; Dipodascales; Dipodascaceae.
UCGGCAAUAGUUUAGUGGCUAGAAUUUCCGCCUGUCACUCGCGGGGGACCGGGGUUCAAUUCCCCGUUGCCGAG